CUCUCUCAAACCCUAGGGUUUGGUAUUGAGUGAUACUCUUAGUCGAACUAAGCGUUUGCUUGAAAAGUAUUGGCAGGAGUGGUGCUGAAUAGUACUUCCAGACUUUCAAUGUAUUAGGUUUAUCCAACUCGUUGAACGGUCUAGUAGUAAAUUUUUAGUCCAUUGGCUCGGCCUUACAACACAACAAACAA
RNAcentral lists this unclassified non-coding RNA (191 nucleotides) under uncultured Saccharomycetales. RNAcentral's name for it is "sequence contains ITS2". The record is from RNAcentral. Lineage: Eukaryota; Fungi; Ascomycota; Saccharomycetes.